CCUACGGGAGGCAGCAGUGAGGAAUAUUGGUCAAUGGGCGCAAGCCUGAACCAGCCACGUCGCGUGAAGGAAGACGGCCCUACGGGUUGUAAACUUCUUUUGUAAGGGAAUAAAGUGCAGUACGCGUACUGUUUUGCAUGUACCUUACGAAUAAGGAUCGGCUAACUCCGUGCCAGCAGCCGCGGUAAU
RNAcentral lists this ribosomal RNA (189 nucleotides) under uncultured bacterium. RNAcentral describes it as "partial 16S ribosomal RNA". It matches the Rfam family "Bacterial small subunit ribosomal RNA", at positions 338 to 524 of the family's 1533-position model. The record is from RNAcentral.